UUUAAUAAGAGAGAGACACAGACAGAAAG
This 29-nucleotide non-coding RNA is filed under the name Cricetulus griseus (Chinese hamster). Lineage: Eukaryota; Metazoa; Chordata; Mammalia; Rodentia; Cricetidae. The record is from RNAcentral.